RNAcentral lists this ribosomal RNA (253 nucleotides) under uncultured bacterium. Its description in RNAcentral is "partial 16S ribosomal RNA". It matches the Rfam family "Bacterial small subunit ribosomal RNA", at positions 524 to 776 of the family's 1533-position model. The record is from RNAcentral.
UACGUAGGGGGCGAGCGUUAUCCGGAUUUAUUGGGCGUAAAGCGCACGCAGGCGGUCGUGCAAGUUCGGGGUGAAAGCUCCCGGCUUAACCGGGAGAGGGCCGCGAAGACUGUGCGACUAGAGUGCAGAAGGGGCAACUGGAAUUCUCGGUGUAGCGGUGAAAUGCGUAGAUAUCGAGAGGAACACCUGCGGCGAAGGCGGGUUGCUGGGCCGACACUGACGCUGAGGCGCGAAAGCUAGGGGAGCGAACGGG